RNAcentral lists this ribosomal RNA (468 nucleotides) under uncultured bacterium. RNAcentral's name for it is "partial 16S ribosomal RNA". It matches the Rfam family "Bacterial small subunit ribosomal RNA", at positions 28 to 507 of the family's 1533-position model. The record is from RNAcentral.
GACGAACGCUGGCGGCGUGCCUAACACAUGCAAGUCGAACGGAAAGGCCCUGCUUUUGUUGGGUGCUCGAGCGGCGUACGGGUGAGUAACACGUGCGUAACCUUCCCUCGACUUUGGGAUAACUUCUGGAAACUGGGGCUAAUACCGGAUAGCAGCUACUGCUGCAUGGUGGGGGUUGGACAGUUUCGGCGGUUGGGGAUGGACUGGCGGCUUAUCAGAUUGCUGGUGGGGUAGUGGCAUGCCAAGGCUUUGCCGGGUAGCCGGCCUGAGAGGGGUACCGGCCAGGUUGGGACUGGAAUAAGGCCCGGACUCGAACGGGAGGCGGCGGUGGGGAAUGGUACACAAUGGGCGGGAGCCUGAUGCAGCGACGCGGCGUGGGGGAUAACGGCCUUCGGUUUGUAAAGCGCUUUCGCCUGUGACGAAGCGAGAGUGACGGUAAUGGGUAAAGAAGCACCGGCUAACUACGUG